RNAcentral lists this ribosomal RNA (588 nucleotides) under uncultured bacterium. RNAcentral's name for it is "partial 16S ribosomal RNA". It matches the Rfam family "Bacterial small subunit ribosomal RNA", at positions 355 to 937 of the family's 1533-position model. The record is from RNAcentral.
UGGGGAAUAUUGGACAAUGGGCGCAAGCCUGAUCCAGCAAUGCCGCGUGUGUGAAGAAGGCCUUCGGGUUGUAAGGCACUUUUAUCAGGAGCGAAACGCUGUCGGCUAAUACCCGGCGGAACUGACGGUACCUGAGGAAUAAGCACCGGCUAACUUCGUGCCAGCAGCCGCGGUAAUACGAAGGGUGCAAGCGUUAAUCGGAAUUACUGGGCGUAAAGCGUGCGUAGGCGGUCUCUUAAGUCUGCUGUGAAAUCCCCGGGCUCAACCUGGGAAUGGCAGUGGAUACUGGGAGGCUAGAGUGUGUCAGAGGGUGGUGGAAUUCCCGGUGUAGCGGUGAAAUGCGUAGAGAUCGGGAGGAACAUCAGUGGCGAAGGCGGCCACCUGGGACAACACUGACGCUGAGGCACGAAAAGCGUGGGGAGCAAACAGGAUUAGAUACCCUGGUAGUCCACGCCCUAAAACGAUGCGAACUGGAUGUUGGUCUCAACUCGGAGAUCAGUGUCGAAGCUAACGCGUUAAGUUCGCCGCCUGGGGAGUACGGUCGCAAGACUGAAACUCAAAUGAAUUGACGGGGUCAUAGCUGUUUCC